This 247-nucleotide ribosomal RNA is filed under the name Clostridioides difficile. Its description in RNAcentral is "partial 16S ribosomal RNA". It matches the Rfam family "Bacterial small subunit ribosomal RNA", at positions 1162 to 1408 of the family's 1533-position model. Lineage: Bacteria; Bacillati; Bacillota; Clostridia; Peptostreptococcales; Peptostreptococcaceae. The record is from RNAcentral.
CCUGGAGGAAGGUGGGGAUGACGUCAAAUCAUCAUGCCCCUUAUGCUUAGGGCUACACACGUGCUACAAUGGGUAGUACAGAGGGUUGCCAAGCCGUAAGGUGGAGCUAAUCCCUUAAAGCUACUCUUAGUUCGGAUUGUAGGCUGAAACUCGCCUACAUGAAGCUGGAGUUACUAGUAAUCGCAGAUCAGAAUGCUGCGGUGAAUGCGUUCCCGGGUCUUGUACACACCGCCCGUCACACCACGGG